AAGGGGGGGGGGGUGCUAUACAUGCAAGUCGAGCGAACCGAUUAAGAGCUUGCUCUUAAGAAGUUAGCGGCGGACGGGUGAGUAACACGUAGGUAACCUGCCUAUAAGACUGGGAUAACUCCGGGAAACCGGGGCUAAUACCGGAUAACAUUUUGCACCGCAUGGUGCGAAAUUGAAAGGCGGCUUCGGCUGUCACUUAUAGAUGGACCUGCGGCGCAUUAGCUAGUUGGUGAGGUAACGGCUCACCAAGGCGACGAUGCGUAGCCGACCUGAGAGGGUGAUCGGCCACACUGGGACUGAGACACGGCCCAGACUCCUACGGGAGGCAGCAGUAGGGAAUCUUCCGCAAUGGACGAAAGUCUGACGGAGCAACGCCGCGUGAGCGAUGAAGGCCUUCGGGUCGUAAAGCUCUGUUGUUAGGGAAGAACAAGUGCUAGUUGAAUAAGCUGGCACCUUGACGGUACCUAACCAGAAAGCCACGGCUAACUACGUGCCAGCAGCCGCGGUAAUACGUAGGUGGCAAGCGUUAUCCGGAAUUAUUGGGCGUAAAGCGCGCGCAGGUGGUUUCUUAAGUCUGAUGUGAAAGCCCACGGCUCAACCGUGGAGGGUCAUUGGAAACUGGGAGACUUGAGUGCAGAAGAGGAAAGUGGAAUUCCAUGUGUAGCGGUGAAAUGCGUAGAGAUAUGGAGGAACACCAGUGGCGAAGGCGACUUUCUGGUCUGCAACUGACACUGAGGCGCGAAAGCGGUGGGGGAGCAAACAGGAUUAGAUACCCUGGUAGUCCACGCCGUAAACGAUGAGUGCUAAGUGGUUAGAGGGUUUCCGCCCUUUAUGCUGAGGUUACGCAUUAAGCACUCCGCCUGGGGAGUACGCCGCAAGCUUGAAACUCAAGAAUUGACGGGGCCGCACAAGCGUGGGAGCCAUGUGGUUAAUUCGAGCACCCGAGAACUUACAGCUUGACAUCUCUGACACCUAAGAUAGGGCUCUCCCUCGGGCCAAUGACAGGGUGCCAUGUGUCCAACGCUCUUGGUUCUGGGAAGUCGUAUUCGCACAGCGCAACUGUAUCUAUGCACUUAUGCUACCUAGGAUGCGUCAAACGGAAGUUGGGGGCU
Molecule: ribosomal RNA, 1112 nt
Filed under: Bacillus anthracis (anthrax bacterium)
Lineage: Bacteria; Bacillati; Bacillota; Bacilli; Caryophanales; Bacillaceae
Description: bacterial SSU rRNA
Rfam family: Bacterial small subunit ribosomal RNA
Source: RNAcentral